RNAcentral lists this ribosomal RNA (253 nucleotides) under uncultured bacterium. RNAcentral's name for it is "partial 16S ribosomal RNA". It matches the Rfam family "Bacterial small subunit ribosomal RNA", at positions 524 to 776 of the family's 1533-position model. The record is from RNAcentral.
GACAGAGGGUGCAAACGUUGUUCGGAAUUACUGGGCGUAAAGCGCGUGUAGGCGGCAAGCCAAGUCGGGUGUGAAAGCCCUGGGCUCAACCCAGGAAGUGCAUUCGAUACUGGCAAGCUAGAGUCCCGGAGAGGAUGGUGGAACUCUCGGUGUAGAGGUGAAAUUCGUAGAUAUCGAGAAGAACACCGGUGGCGAAGGCGGCCAUCUGGACGGUGACUGACGCUGAGACGCGAAGGCGUGGGGAGCGAACGGG